RNAcentral lists this ribosomal RNA (813 nucleotides) under Geojedonia litorea. Its description in RNAcentral is "bacterial SSU rRNA". It matches the Rfam family "Bacterial small subunit ribosomal RNA", at positions 59 to 874 of the family's 1533-position model. The record is from RNAcentral. Lineage: Bacteria; Pseudomonadati; Bacteroidota; Flavobacteriia; Flavobacteriales; Flavobacteriaceae.
CAGUCGAACGGUAACAGCACUUCGGUGGCUGACGAGUGGCGCACGGGUGCGUAACGCGUAUACAAUCUACCUUUUACAGGGGAAUAGCCCAGAGAAAUUUGGAUUAAUACCCCAUAGUAUUAUUAAUUGGCAUCGGUUGAUAAUUAAAGAUUCAUCGGUAAAAGAUGAGUAUGCGUUCUAUUAGCUAGUAGGUGUGGUAACGGCACACCUAGGCAACGAUAGAUAGGGGCCCUGAGAGGGGGAUCCCCCACACUGGUACUGAGACACGGACCAGACUCCUACGGGAGGCAGCAGUGAGGAAUAUUGGACAAUGGGCGAGAGCCUGAUCCAGCCAUGCCGCGUGCAGGAAGACUGCCCUAUGGGUUGUAAACUGCUUUUAUACGGGAAGAAACACCCCUUCGUGAAGGGGCUUGACGGUACCGUAAGAAUAAGGAUCGGCUAACUCCGUGCCAGCAGCCGCGGUAAUACGGAGGAUCCAAGCGUUAUCCGGAAUCAUUGGGUUUAAAGGGUCCGUAGGUGGACGGUUAAGUCAGAGGUGAAAUCCUGCAGCUCAACUGUAGAAUUGCCUUUGAUACUGGCCGUCUUGAAUCAAUGUGAAGUGGUUAGAAUAUGUAGUGUAGCGGUGAAAUGCAUAGAUAUUACAUAGAAUACCGAUUGCGAAGGCAGAUCACUAACAUUGUAUUGACACUGAUGGACGAAAGCGUGGGGAGCGAACAGGAUUAGAUACCCUGGUAGUCCACGCCGUAAACGAUGGUUACUAGCUGUCCGGACUUCGGUCUGGGUGGCUAAGCGAAAGUGAUAAGUAACCCACCU